UACGUAGGGGGCAAGCGUUGUCCGGAAUCAUUGGGCGUAAAGAGCGCGUAGGCGGCCCUGUAAGUCCGCUGUGAAAGUCAAGGGCUCAACCCUUGAAUGCCGUUGGAUACUGCAGGGCUAGAGUCCGGAAGAGGCGAGUGGAAUUCCUGGUGUAGAGGUGAAAUGCGCAGAUAUCAGGAGGAACACCGAUGGCGAAGGCAGCUCGCUGGGACGGUACUGACGCUGAGACGCGAAAGCGUGGGGAGCAAACAGG
This 253-nucleotide ribosomal RNA is filed under the name uncultured bacterium. RNAcentral describes it as "partial 16S ribosomal RNA". It matches the Rfam family "Bacterial small subunit ribosomal RNA", at positions 524 to 776 of the family's 1533-position model. The record is from RNAcentral.